AUGGCGUGGACAAAUCACAACUGGAAUGGGCCAAAAAUAAAUCAAUGCCGGCUUGGAUGGAUGAAUAAUUGUCAAGGGCUGCUGCAAAAGCUGCCCGAAGGAUCUAGUCCAAGAGACGCCGUCUGUCUUAAUAAUAGUACUGAUCUGCACUGCGGGUCACCAUUAGUCCAUUACUUUAUGGAUGUCCGGUGCCAGGUAACCAUAUCACCGAGAAUAAUCUCCCUAUCUAAUAACAUGGACACAAAAAAUAAUCCGUAUAUAUUCUCCGUCCAAUCAAAUAGAGCCCAAACAAGACUAGCCGGCUGCACACAUACGGCUCGCACCUGUCGUAGUUGCGGUAGCAUGUCUGUCAGGGUCGCCCACCCGUCCCGUACACGCAUACGGAUACGGUUGUUAAAUACUGCCACGUUUACGUUGCGUCAGUUAGUCAGUCGCGACAGCACGGCUAGGGUUCUAGCUUUAGUUUAA
Molecule: ribosomal RNA, 468 nt
Filed under: Triticum aestivum (bread wheat)
Lineage: Eukaryota; Viridiplantae; Streptophyta; Magnoliopsida; Poales; Poaceae
Description: partial small subunit ribosomal RNA
Source: RNAcentral